AUUUAUUAAAUAUUUAUUAUUGCAUGUGUUUUCUUAUCCAUGAUGCACAUUUACCAAGCUUACCAGUCACUGGAUGAUCACAUCCUACCUCAUAGGGCUGUUAUAAGGAAGAGGCCUAGAAAAACCCUAACACACAAUAUAAAUGUGAGCUAUUUGUAGUAUCGUUAUCAGUCCUGAGCAGCAUCUCACAUAUAGCCUGAUUGGGUAUGAACAGGAUCCUUCAGGAGACAUCCGGGCUUCCAAUGGGCCUGGUUCAUUGUUGCUGAUUGGCCUGGAAUGUCUCAGUUAAACAAAUGGGUAUUCUAUAGAAAAUGGCAGCCAGCAUACACAGUCAGGAAUAGGAGAAGGGAACGGGGGAACAUCUGCUCCUUCCCUCAAUGCUCCAUCCGGCUUCUCACCAACUCCAUGGUUUUAAUACCACAAUCAUUUGGUAGUGUUUGCCACCUGCUGAAAAAUCUCAAAAUGAGAAAACUGAAGCUCUGAGAUAUGAAAAGACCUACACAUGAUCCUACAGAUCGUUCAAGAGUGAAGACUCUUUGAGGACACGGAGUGUUUUUCCCCAUUUCUUUUGAAAUAUUUGAAAUAAAAUGUCUUUUGUUCUCA
Molecule: long non-coding RNA, 603 nt
Filed under: Monodelphis domestica (gray short-tailed opossum)
Lineage: Eukaryota; Metazoa; Chordata; Mammalia; Didelphimorphia; Didelphidae
Description: lncRNA (ENSMODG00000030029.2)
Source: RNAcentral